RNAcentral lists this long non-coding RNA (1276 nucleotides) under Mus spicilegus (steppe mouse). RNAcentral describes it as "lncRNA (ENSMSIG00000027811.1)". Lineage: Eukaryota; Metazoa; Chordata; Mammalia; Rodentia; Muridae. The record is from RNAcentral.
AAUGAGUCUGUUUAUGAAGACCAUCAUGUUGCCGGCAAAACAAGGCACUCGGCAGAGCAGCUCGGCGCCUCUAAUGGGACAUUAUUUAUGUCAUUUUCCUCUAGGCGUUGGAGCCAUUACCGCCCGGGAUAGUGCUCCGUCACCCUCCACUCCCCCAGUGAUGUUCCAAUGUCACGCUGAAGGAUGUGCGCCGUGGCUUCGCGGGGAGCAAACGACUGUCAGCUCCAGGACCUGGAGAGGAAGGAGAGGGGAACCUGUACUUCACAAAGGGCUCCCACAGCCUCCAUCUGCUCUUCAAGUUAGCUGCCCCAGCUUUCCCUAGACAAAGGCCAGCCUGCAACCUCCGUCAAGUGCACCAAAUGGCAGCCACUGGUUCAGCUCAGGACGGGACCUUCAGCUCUUCACACCAUUUUACACUCAGUAAAGAGGUGGCUCAUGCAUGUAAUCCCAGCACUUGGUGAGUGGGUGGCAGGAGGAUUGCCAUGAGUUCAAGCUAGGAUACUAAGUACCAGGCCAUUGGAAAAGCACCUUUUGGGGGGCUGGAUCAGGCUUCCCUAGGAGUCAAGGACUCUAAAGUGUAGAGCCAGCUGGAUGAGGUGAGGCCAAACUCAGACACAUGGAUUGCUCCCACAUACCUGCUACCCAGGGGAUGCCCAGACAUGUGCCCCUCUGCUAACCGGCUCCUUUUCUCUCCACUUCGGUCCUUCCCAUUGCUCAGUUUGUACUGGCGCCAGCUCCCGCCUCUCUGCCUCAGGAAGCCCCAUCCUGCUGCCCUUGCACGCUUGCUGAAUGAAGCAUGCGCUUGCUGAAUGAAGCAUGGGGCCAGUUCAUGAGUUUGCCUUAGCACCCUCUGCUCUGGGGUGGAGAUGGUAACAGUCCUGGCUGCAGGAUUGCUGUGGUUCUCUGGAGACUGCAAGGGUGUCUUGUGGGUUGCAUCUGCAACUGCGGUGGUAGGGGCUGUUUUAGGACCACCGGGCUGCCUGCCUCAGCACAGUCUGCGGGGGAAUCUCAGGAGUCCCUCCCACUCCCAGGAAUCCUCUGCUGUGCUCCAUGUGGUUGGGCAAUGGGUUUAGUAGUAGUUGAUGGUUUUCUGGCACCUUUCCCUUGGCGACUCCUGAAGGUGGGGCUGAGAGUUUGGCUCUGCUGUAUACCCUGUCCUUAGCGCAGUGCCUGGAAGAAAGCCCACGCCUUGAUUUCAGUAAGCAAGCACAUGAACGAGCUCACGUUGCUCCUACCACAGCCUUGCAUCGUGAGGUCAGCUCCUUUUGUCCUUUUG